Molecule: ribosomal RNA, 207 nt
Filed under: uncultured bacterium
Lineage: Bacteria
Description: partial 16S ribosomal RNA
Rfam family: Bacterial small subunit ribosomal RNA
Source: RNAcentral
UGCGUAGGCGGUUUGGUAAGUCAGAUGUGAAAUUCCUGGGCUCAACCGAGGAACUGCAUUUGAUACUGCCAGACUAGAGUACUGGAGAGGAGACUGGAAUUUACGGUGUAGCAGUGAAAUGCGUAGAUAUCGUAAGGAGGGCCAGUGGCGAAGGCGAGUCUCUGGACAGUAACUGACGCUGAGGCACGAAGGCUAGGGGAGCAAACG